UAAAAUUUUAAAAGCUUUGGUUGAGCGGUUCAUGAGUUUAUGCACGUACACGACUGGAAACUCCAUUUUUCAAUCUUUCAAGAACCAUAACUCCUGAACGGUAAAAGUCAAAAUCGCCAUUAUUGAACUUGACCUUCAUUUAGUUGUCAGUAACAACAUAUUAAAAUUUUAAAAGCUUCGGUUGAACGGUUCAUGAGUUAAUGCACGGACAACAUUUGAUUCCCGCCCGCCCGACCGACCGCCCGCCCGC
Molecule: long non-coding RNA, 250 nt
Filed under: Mytilus galloprovincialis (Mediterranean mussel)
Lineage: Eukaryota; Metazoa; Mollusca; Bivalvia; Mytilida; Mytilidae
Source: RNAcentral